This 831-nucleotide long non-coding RNA is filed under the name Mytilus galloprovincialis (Mediterranean mussel). Lineage: Eukaryota; Metazoa; Mollusca; Bivalvia; Mytilida; Mytilidae. The record is from RNAcentral.
GUUCGUCUUAUUAAUUUUGUUUUACUUGAGGCUGGUAUAUCAGAAGUGCAUAUUUGCCAAAAAUAAUAUUAACAUUUUGUCCCUCUGGUUGGUAUUUAAUUUGAACAGUUUUUCAAUUUGUAAGCGUGGGAAUAAUUACAUGGGUAUGUUUGGGUGUUUUGUAUGUACGAUACAAGUUCAUAUUCAUCGUUUUAAUUUACGGCCGGGUUGUUCGAGUUAUUGGUACUUUUAGCACCCGGGUUUUGGAUUGUUUUAACCGAGGUUUUAUGUUGAAGUUCGGACAAAUCUAUAUAGUUUUACAAAUUUGUAUGUCUUAAAUUUUCCGAGAACACCUUCAUGGUAAUUGUAGGAAUUGCUUUGGGUUGUAUAUUUGCCAUUUGAAUUUAUUUUUGGUUGUAUUUCGCUUAAAAUGGUUUUGUUCGUACGAUACGAUAAAUUUUAAGAUUCAACGCCUUGUGUGCGGGCGCGGGGUGUGUUCGAGUUACUGGUACUUUUAAUUGCAAUAGCUUAUUAUCUAUGGUUAAGUUCGGAUAAAUACAUAAUUUUACGAAUUUGUCUGUUAAUUUUUGGAGCACACCUUUCAUAGUAACUGUAGUGAUGACCUUGAGUUGUAUGUUUUGCCUUUUUAUUAACUAUAAACAGAAGAUACACUUUUACUAUGGAAUGUUCAUUCAUUAAAUUGUGUAGUGAAAUGUACAUCACUUGUCACAUAUGUACUUUAAUAACCGGUUUUCGUGACCGACAUUUAAAUAUAACGCUAAUCAGUUUCAUUGGGUUUACAACCAAACUUUUAUUUAAUGGGUGUUCAUUUGAAUUGUUUAAUAGUUUGAU